CGGUCCUCGUGGCCGUCCGAGUUGUAAUCUAGAGAAGCGUCUUCCGCGCUGGACCCGUGUACAAGUCUCCUGGAAGGGAGCGUCAUAGAGGGUGAGAAUCCCGUCUUUGACACGGACUGCCAGGGCUAUGUGAUGCGCUCUCGAAGAGUCGAGUUGUUUGGGAAUGCAGCUCAAAACGGGUGGUAAAUUCCAUCUAAAGCUAAAUACGGGCGAGAGACCGAUAGCGAACAAGUACCGUGAGGGAAAGAUGAAAAGAACUUUGGAAAGAGAGUUAAACAGUACGUGAAAUUGCUGAAAGGGAAACGCUUGAUGUCAGUCGCGUCCGCCAGGGAUCAACCUUGCAUUAGUUUGCUGGGCGCAAUUCUUGGUAGGACGGGUCAGCGUCAGUUUCGAUCGUCGUAGAAUGGUCAAGGGAACGUGGCACCUCCAGGGGUGUGUUAUAGCCCUGGGUCGCAUGCGUCGGUAGGGACUGAGGAACUCGGCACGAACCUUUGCGGGUUCGGUGUCUAGGAUGCUGGCAUAAUGGCCUUAAGCGACCCGUCUUGAAACACGGACCAAGGA
Molecule: ribosomal RNA, 561 nt
Filed under: Phylloporus sp.
Lineage: Eukaryota; Fungi; Basidiomycota; Agaricomycetes; Boletales; Boletaceae
Description: partial large subunit ribosomal RNA
Rfam family: Eukaryotic large subunit ribosomal RNA
Source: RNAcentral